Molecule: unclassified non-coding RNA, 2334 nt
Filed under: Homalodisca vitripennis (glassy-winged sharpshooter)
Lineage: Eukaryota; Metazoa; Arthropoda; Insecta; Hemiptera; Cicadellidae
Description: cryptochrome-1-like, transcript variant X1
Source: RNAcentral
CGUGACCGUAGGCUCAACCAAUCACGUUGUAGGAGAGGAUGGGAGUCACGUUGUAAGUGGUGUGUGGUUUUGGCUACAUUAUAAGUAAGUACUGAAUAGUGGGUGAUGUGUUGUUUUUAAAAGUGUUUCACAAAAUUUAACUUUGAAACUGUUGUAUGGAAUACUAUGUGAUAGAACUAAGUGUCAAACUUCCAAACUAAUUUAGUAAGGGACAUUAAAACUGUAAAAUUGUUUUCCUGUGCCCUUGUGGUAGACCUUUAUAUAGACCUAAAGAAGUUUAUGAAUAAUUGUCAUAUCAUUAAAAUAAAGGUCAUACAGAACACACAGGGAAUAGGACACAGUUCUUGGUAAUUCAUGAAGAAAGCCUACACAUGAUAAGUGUGUUGUUUUAAUAUGGGAUCAAACAGUAUUUUAUUCUAUAUUCAUAUCAUAAUAAAUAAUACUUAGACAUGAUGAAAGACCAUCCAAAACACACAGUGCACUGGUUCCGUAAAGGUCUCCGGCUGCAUGACAAUCCCAGCCUCCGUGCUGGUUUAAAGGGAGCCACUACCUUCCGGUGUAUAUUUAUAUUGGAUCCAUAUUUUGCUGGUUCUUCAAAUGAGGGCAUUAACAAGUGGAGGUUUCUGUUACAAUGUUUGGAAGAUCUAGACAACAGUCUUCGCAAAUUGGGAUCUCGUCUUUUUGUGAUAAGAGGCCAACCUACAGAGGCUCUACCCAAACUGUUUGAGGAAUGGAAAACAACAAACUUGACAUUCGACUAUGAUCCAGAGCCAUUUGGUCGCAAGAGAGACAGACACGUCAGGGAGAUGUGUUCGAGUAGUGGUAUCUCCGUAACAUCAUACGUCUCUCACACACUCUACAACCUAGACGAUAUCAUCGCUAAAAACUAUAACCAGCCUCCACUGACGUACCACAGGUUUCAGGAGGUGGUUGAAUUGCUUGGUCGUCCACCUUCAGCCGUGGGAGAUAUAGAUCCCUCCUUCAUUGGGUCUGCUUACACUCCACUUUGUGAUAAUCACAAUGAAAGAUACGGAGUACCAAGUCUUGAAGAACUUGGUUUUGAGACUGAACAGCUAGAAUCCCCUGUGUGGCAAGGAGGAGAAACUGAGGCACUAGCUCGGCUAGAACGCCACCUUCAGCGCAAGGCCUGGGUGGCCAGCUUCGCUAAGCCCAAGAUGUCUCCAUCUUCUCUGCUUGCCAGCCCAUGUGGCCUCAGUCCUUAUCUUAGGUUCGGUUGUCUCUCCACUCGGACCUUCUACCAUCAACUCACUCAACUCUAUAAGUCUAUUAAAAAAGAUGACCCACCACUCUCACUUCACGGACAGUUGCUCUGGAGGGAAUUUUUCUACUGUGCAGCAACAAAUAACCCAAAAUUCGACAAAAUGAUUGGAAACCCCAUCUGUGUACAAAUCCCUUGGGACAAGAAUGAAGAAGCACUGGCAAAGUGGGCAAAAGGAAAGACUGGCUUCCCGUGGAUUGAUGCAAUCAUGGUUCAACUACGGCAGGAAGGGUGGAUUCACCAUCUGUCGCGGCAUGCAGUUGCCUGCUUUCUAACCCGGGGGGACUUGUGGAUCUCAUGGGAAGAAGGCAUGAAGGUCUUUGAAGAUUUACUUCUUGAUGCUGACUGGUCAGUGAAUGCAGGAUCCUGGAUGUGGCAUUCAAACAGCUCCUUCUUCCAACAAUUCUUUAGUUGUUACUGUCCAGUUCGAUUUGGUAGAAAAGCUGAUCCCAAUGGAGAGUUCAUAAGGAAAUACUUGCCAGUUCUUAAGAACUUCCCGACUGAACACAUACAUGACCCUUGGACGGCCUCAGAAGAUGUUCAGAAAGCUUCAAAUUGUGUAAUUGGCCGUGAUUAUCCUGUGCCUAUGGUGAAUCAUAGUGAAAUCAGUGCCAUCAAUAGCCAGAGGAUGAGACAAGUCUUCCUCCAGCUGAAGAAAUACCGUGGCCCUGGCCGUUUUGGUCAGGGGAAAACGGAAAAUGGGAAGCAGUAACCAGCAGGCAGGAUCCUCGCAAGUGACGGCUAUUGUGAGUUCUUCCACCAGUUUGGGUCUAACGUAGGCUUGGGCUUGUUUGGACUUAGGCCUAAAUGAAAAACUGGUAACGGUUACUCAGUUCCAACUGGCCGAGGACUGUUCACAUUCAACAAUCCACUCCGUAUAAAGGCGGAGUAUAACAUGGAUCUCAGUUCAAAUAAGGAAAACGUGUUUUGUUUUAAUGAAGAUGACAACAGUAAUAAUGCAUUGUACCAGUAAUACUUGAGGUUAAAGGUAAAGAGAGAAAGUAUUAUAAGCAGCAAGAUAUAUAUAUAUAUAUAUAUAUAUAUAUAUAUAUAUA